Populus euphratica (Euphrates poplar) is the source of this 1657-nucleotide long non-coding RNA. RefSeq lists it as uncharacterized. The transcript has 8 exons. The record is from RefSeq and is a predicted model, not a curated record. NCBI's taxonomy places the organism in Eukaryota, Viridiplantae, Streptophyta, Magnoliopsida, Malpighiales, Salicaceae.
UACUUUCCAGAAAAUGUAAAAUUCCAAAUUUUGAGUUACAGAGCUAAUAUCUAAAAUCAUCAAUCAUCACCAUGAACCAGAAGAUGAAAAUUAACAAGAAGAAGAAUAAAAAGAAUGAAAUGGAGUUUUGCGAAGUAUGCAAUUUGAAUGACGAUGAAGGCCAAAACCAUAAGUACUUUCCAAACCACAAAAAUUCACUCUCUAAUUUCUUCUCUCGUUUCCAAACCAAAAUCGCCGCCGUCCGAUUCUUUCUCAAAAGCCCUACCAUUCUCCAACCUGGACUCUCCUCUCGCAACCGCAUCUGGUGCGUCUUCUGCGAUUUCGAUAUCCACGAGAUCGGCAGCUCCUUCGUAUGCGCCAACGCGAUAAGUCACCUGGCGAGUGAGGAACAUUUGAAGAAAUUGAAGCGCUUUAUGUGGAAAUACGGUGGUGGAAUGGGCUGGGUGCCUGGGUGGGAUACUUUUCGGGUUUUAGAAGCUCAUGUGCUGAAUCGUUGUUCAAUGUGGGACAAGUAGUGUGAAGCAUUGAGGAAUGAAAGGGCAGCGUUGGGCAGCGUUGGAUCAAGAGGGAUGCAAGUUGGACCUACAAAAAAAUGGAGUAUCAGAUAUGCAAUUCAGGAUUUUCUGCAGUUGCGAAUGUUGGACCAUCCAUGUAUUGUGUGGUCUCUACUUUGCCUGUGCAUGCACAUUCUGGUACAUGCAAUCCUAAUGAUUUAACCGCUAACUGGAAUAGCCAGCAUUCUUUCCCAUAACAGUAUAAACUGUGCACCCAAUGUCGGUAAUGGACAGCUGUGCCAGGUUUAUCAGGGUGAAAGAUCCGUACAUGGAGUGAGCAGUUUACGGGGUUCCCACAAUAUACCUCAAGUUCCUGCUAUGGCUCUACAAUUGGCUGGAGUCACUCUAGCACCUGCCUUGACUCCACAAAUGGCUGGAGGAAAUGUGCAUACAGGAGCUUCUCCUUGGUUUGAAGCAACUGAAGAAAAUCAGCUAAACAUUCAAGUGAAAUGGACUGCUUGGGCAGAAGGGAGAAAGAUGGAGAUGACAGGUUGUCAAGAGCGAUUGUGAUGCUAACUGGCUCCCCAAUUUUGGCAGCAUGACGGCCAAAAGGAAUCUAGAAAAGAAUUUGAGAAUGAGAAACAAAAAUUACCCAGUGUGGAGAGUCAUACUGAGAUGCCAGUUAGGAUAUAGCCUUAUAUCAGCAAACAAAUGGUAAUCUCUAAGCUCAAUGUCCUUGUGUAUCCUGCAGUUCUUGUUAUGUCCCAUCUUUUCCAUUUUCAGGCUUGGCUCUUUUUGUGAGGUGAUUGAAAUAUACAUUUUAUGUUUUAAACAUCAUUACAAUACAUUGUUUUCUUCUUACUUGAUUGUCCAUGUUAGUAGAUAGUGACGCCUCAUCACAUAUAAAUUUGACUAAAGUACUUGUGAAUUCUUAGAUGCAUUCUAUUAUGAAUUGCUGUAAAAGGACACCAGUCUACUUCAGCGUAAUGUGGUAAAAGAAAGUUGGAACUAAGCAUUUGCAGGUGAUCAUAGCACAGUUCACCUUUAUAGGUAGAAGUCUUGGCUAGUUUUAGGUGAUAUGCUGUGUAAAAAACUCUUUGCUUCUUAGGCUGAUGACAUUGUAUUCAAGUCUGGCAUAUAUUUCAUUGAUUUGUGGAACUUUA